AAAAAAAAAAUAGCGAUACCGGCCGUGAUGCAAGGAAUCGGUAUAUGCGAGGCAAGGAAUGUUCUCGCAUAUAGCUCACUAUUUUUUUAUCGUUGCACUAUUCCUCCUUAUUCCGUAAACAUUAUGAGCUAAAGUCAAAAUUAAUAGAAUGAAUGACUUCCUGAGAGUCCCAAAAGAAACCGAUUUAUUUCCUUCAUCAGUUGGAAAAAAUUUAUUUAUUUAUCACUGCCAAUAUAAGAGCUCGACUUCCUAGAUGAAUAGCAUAGCUUUGAAAGUGAUUCGCAGGAUGACUCAGUAUCAAAACGAAUGGGUUAUACACUAUAUGGCUUUAGAUGUAAAUAUUCUUUAGAUGAUAUAUUAAGAGAAUUAAUAACUGCAUCGACAUACAGCCAAUGCAGAAUCAUUUAUAAGUCACUGAACCUUCAGAAUAGCGCAACGUGGAUUUCGCUACUUUA
Molecule: non-coding RNA, 455 nt
Organism: Schizosaccharomyces pombe (fission yeast)
Lineage: Eukaryota; Fungi; Ascomycota; Schizosaccharomycetes; Schizosaccharomycetales; Schizosaccharomycetaceae
Source: the annotation of a GenBank genome assembly